UACGGGGGGGGCAAGCGUUGUUCGGAAUUACUGGGCGUAAAGCGUGCGCAGGCGGUUGGGUAAGACAGAUGGGAAAUCCCCGGGCUCAACCUGGGAACUGCAUUUGUGACUGCACGGCUGGAGUGCGGCAGAGGGGGAUGGAAUUCCGCGUGUAGCAGUGAAAUGCGUAGAUAUGCGGAGGAACACCGAUGGCGAAGGCAAUCCCCUGGGCCUGCACUGACGCUCAUGCACGAAAGCGUGGGGAGCAAACAGG
Molecule: ribosomal RNA, 253 nt
Filed under: uncultured bacterium
Lineage: Bacteria
Description: partial 16S ribosomal RNA
Rfam family: Bacterial small subunit ribosomal RNA
Source: RNAcentral